This 550-nucleotide ribosomal RNA is filed under the name Rhodotorula mucilaginosa. RNAcentral describes it as "eukaryotic LSU rRNA". It matches the Rfam family "Eukaryotic large subunit ribosomal RNA", at positions 38 to 602 of the family's 3401-position model. The record is from RNAcentral. Lineage: Eukaryota; Fungi; Basidiomycota; Microbotryomycetes; Sporidiobolales; Sporidiobolaceae.
GCAUAUCCAAUAAGCGGAGGAAAAGAAACUAACAAGGAUUCCCCUAGUAGCGGCGAGCGAAGCGGGAAGAGCUCAAAUUUAUAAUCUGGCACCUUCGGUGUCCGAGUUGUAAUCUCUAGAAAUGUUUUCCGCGUUGGACCGCACACAAGUCUGUUGGAAUACAGCGGCAUAGUGGUGAGACCCCCGUAUAUGGUGCGGACGCCCAGCGCUUUGUGAUACAUUUUCGAAGAGUCGAGUUGUUUGGGAAUGCAGCUCAAAUUGGGUGGUAAAUUCCAUCUAAAGCUAAAUAUUGGCGAGAGACCGAUAGCGAACAAGUACCGUGAGGGAAAGAUGAAAAGCACUUUGGAAAGAGAGUUAACAGUACGUGAAAUUGUUGGAAGGGAAWCGCUUGAAGUCAGACUUGCUUGCCGAGCAAUCGGUUUGCAGGCCAGCAUCAGUUUUCCGGGAUGGAUAAUGGUAGAGAGAAGGUAGCAGUUUCGGCUGUGUUAUAGCUCUCUGCUGGAUACAUCUUGGGGGACUGAGGAACGCAGUGUGCCUUUGGCGGGGGUUU